This 468-nucleotide long non-coding RNA is filed under the name Homo sapiens (human). RNAcentral describes it as "non-protein coding lnc-UGT2B28-6:1". Lineage: Eukaryota; Metazoa; Chordata; Mammalia; Primates; Hominidae. The record is from RNAcentral.
UCUAUGGAAAUUUGAUGACAGAAAAUCAGAUACCUUAGUACAAUUACUCAGCUGUACAAGUGGGUAGCCCAGAAUGACUUUCUCCUAGGUCAUCUAACAACCAAAGCUUUUAUACCUCAUGGUGGAGGCAAUGACAUCUAUGAGAGGAUCUACCAUGGGAUCCCUAUGGUGGGCCUUCCUUUGUUUGUAGAUCAACCCGAUAAGUUGGUUCACAUGAAGGCUAAGGGGGAAGCUGUUACAGUAGACUCAAAAACGAUGUCAUCUACAAAUUUGCUCAAUGCAUAAAAAGCAGUCAUUAAUAAAGAGAAUGUUAUAUGGUUAUGAAUCAUUCAUUAUGAUCAGCUUAUGAAGCCCAUGGACCAAACAGUCUUCUGGAUCAAGUUUGUCAUGCGCCACAGAGGAGCCAAGUACUUGCUGCCGCCUGCGAACAACCUCACCUGGCUCCAGUACUGCUCUCUGGUUGUGCUG